Molecule: ribosomal RNA, 200 nt
Filed under: uncultured bacterium
Lineage: Bacteria
Description: partial 16S ribosomal RNA
Rfam family: Bacterial small subunit ribosomal RNA
Source: RNAcentral
AGAGUUUGAUCCUGGCUCAGGAUAAACGCUGGCGGCGUGCCUAACACAUGCAAGUCGAACGCGCUGGAGUGAUCCAGCGAGUGGCGGACGGGUGAGGAACACGUGGGUUAUCUACCUUGAGGUGAGGAAUACCGGCGAGAAAUCGCCGACAAUACCGCAUGACCUUGGAAACAAGGAAAGCUGAGCAAUCGGCGCCCCAA